AUUUGAUGAUGAGGGCAGCUUGCACAUAACCUCUUGAAUCUCUCCCAAUAUUCAUAUAAACAUUCUACACGCAGUUGUCUGAUUCCAGAAAUAUCUUUUCUGAUUGU
Molecule: non-coding RNA, 107 nt
Organism: Lupinus angustifolius (narrow-leaved blue lupine)
Lineage: Eukaryota; Viridiplantae; Streptophyta; Magnoliopsida; Fabales; Fabaceae
Source: Rfam